UGGGGAAAUUUGCACAAUGGGCGCAAGCCUGAUGCAGCCAUGCCGCGUGUAUGAAGAAGGCCUUCGGGUUGUAAAGUACUUUCAGCGGGGAGGAAGGGAGUAAAGUUAAUACCUUUGCUCAUUGACGUUACCCGCAGAAGAAGCACCGGCUAACUCCGUGCCAGCAGCCGCGGUAAUACGGAGGGUGCAAGCGUUAAUCGGAAUUACUGGGCGUAAAGCGCACGCAGGCGGUUUGUUAAGUCAGAUGUGAAAUCCCCGGGCUCAACCUGGGAACUGCAUCUGAUACUGGCAAGCUUGAGUCUCGUAGAGGGGGGUAGAAUUCCAGGUGUAGCGGUGAAAUGCGUAGAGAUCUGGAGGAAUACCGGUGGCGAAGGCGGCCCCCUGGACGAAGACUGACGCUCAGGUGCGAAAGCGUGGGGAGCAAACAGG
Molecule: ribosomal RNA, 429 nt
Filed under: Chloroflexota bacterium
Lineage: Bacteria; Bacillati; Chloroflexota
Description: Chloroflexi bacterium partial 16S ribosomal RNA
Rfam family: Bacterial small subunit ribosomal RNA
Source: RNAcentral